Molecule: ribosomal RNA, 466 nt
Filed under: uncultured bacterium
Lineage: Bacteria
Description: partial 16S ribosomal RNA
Rfam family: Bacterial small subunit ribosomal RNA
Source: RNAcentral
GAUGAACGCUGGCGGCGUGCUUAACACAUGCAAGUCGAACGAUGAAGCCCAGCUUGCUGGGUGGAUUAGUGGCGAACGGGUGAGUAACACGUGAGUAACCUGCCCUUAACUCUGGGAUAAGCCUGGGAAACUGGGUCUAAUACCGGAUAGGAGCGCCUACCGCAUGGUGGGUGUUAGAAAGAUUUAUCGGUUUUGGAUGGACUCGCGGCCUAUCAGCUUGUUGGUGAGGUAAUGGCUCACCAAGGCGACGACGGGUAGCCGGCCUGAGAGGGUGACCGGCCACACUGGGACUGAGACACGGCCCAGACUCCUACGGGAGGCAGCAGUGGGGAAUAUUGCACAAUGGGCGAAAGCCUGAUGCAGCGACGCCGCGUGAGGGAUGACGGCCUUCGGGUUGUAAACCUCUUUCAGUAGGGAAGAAGCGAAAGUGACGGUACCUGCAGAAGAAGCACCGGCUAACUACGUG